UGGCAUAAGCCAGCUUGACUGCGAGCGUGACGGCGCGAGCAGGUGCGAAAGCAGGUCAUAGUGAUCCGGUGGUUCUGAAUGGAAGGGCCAUCGCUCAACGGAUAAAAGGUACUCCGGGGAUAACAGGCUGAUACCGCCCAAGAGUUCAUAUCGACGGCGGUGUUUGGCACCUCGAUGUCGGCUCAUCACAUCCUGGGGCUGAAGUAGGUCCCAAGGGUAUGGCUGUUCGCCAUUUAAAGUGGUACGCGAGCUGGGUUUAGAACGUCGUGAGACAGUUCGGUCCCUAUCUGCCGUGGGCGCUGGAGAACUGAGGGGGGCUGCUCCUAGUACGAGAGGACCGGAGUGGACGCAUCACUGGUGUUCGGGUUGUCAUGCCAAUGGCACUGCCCGGUAGCUAAAUGCGGAAGAGAUAAGUGCUGAAAGCAUCUAAGCACGAAACUUGCCCCGAGAUG
This 452-nucleotide ribosomal RNA is filed under the name Escherichia coli. Its description in RNAcentral is "partial 23S ribosomal RNA". It matches the Rfam family "Bacterial large subunit ribosomal RNA", at positions 2355 to 2806 of the family's 2925-position model. The record is from RNAcentral. Lineage: Bacteria; Pseudomonadati; Pseudomonadota; Gammaproteobacteria; Enterobacterales; Enterobacteriaceae.